RNAcentral lists this long non-coding RNA (462 nucleotides) under Hordeum vulgare. Its description in RNAcentral is "long non-coding RNA (HVUL_LNC003149)". The record is from RNAcentral. Lineage: Eukaryota; Viridiplantae; Streptophyta; Magnoliopsida; Poales; Poaceae.
NGGCUCCACCAGCUGGAGCCGCUUGAAGCUGAGGGAGCCCUCGAUGCGGAGCUUGCCGGAGCCAAGCGAGGCCUUGAGGAACGUCGCCUGCUCCUCCGCCGCGACGAGGCCGCAUUCGCCCGCGCCGCCGUCCUCCUCCACGGGGCACGAGAAGAGCACGCCCAUCGCGCCGCGCAAGCUCAAAGCAGAGCAAAACCAACCGAAGCUCGCGAUUUCUCCUCGUGCCGAUCCUGUUUGACCCCGCUGGAUCCCACCUCGAGGCCGGUCGUCGACGAACAAGAGCGAGUGCAGUAGAGCUGUGGUAUGUCUGUAUGUAUGUAUUUCUUGGUGCGAGCGAGCGAACUACCGGGCUGGCUGCAGGAGCCACUGGGCGAAUAUAUAGCGGGAGGAGACCGAGCAGACCGGGCUGGCCAGUGGAGGGACGCGCGGUGAGGGUGGGCCACCGUCGGAUGCGGAAAAGCG